GACGAACGCUGGCGGCGUGCUUAACACAUGCAAGUCGAACGGAAAGGCCCUGCUUUUGUGGGGUUCUCGAGUGGCGAACGGGUGAGUAACACGUGAGUAACCUGCCCUUGACUUUGGGAUAACUUCAGGAAACUGGGGCUAAUACCGUAUAGGAGCUCCUGCUGCAUGGUGGGGGUUGGAAAGUUUCGGCGGUUGGGGUUGGACUCGCGGCUUAUGAGCUUGUUGGUUGGGUAGUGGCUUACCAAGGCUUUGACGGGUAGCCGGCCUGAGAGGGUGACCGGCGACAUUGGGACUGAGAUACGGCCCAGACUCCUACGGGAGGCAGCAGUGGGGAAUAUUGCACAAUGGGAGGAAGCCUGAUGCAGAAACGCCGCGUGCGGGAUGACGGCCUUCGGGUUGUAAACAGCUUUCGCCUGUGACGAAGCGUGAGUGACGGUAAUGGGUAAAGAAGCACCGGCUAACUACGUG
This 468-nucleotide ribosomal RNA is filed under the name uncultured bacterium. RNAcentral's name for it is "partial 16S ribosomal RNA". It matches the Rfam family "Bacterial small subunit ribosomal RNA", at positions 28 to 507 of the family's 1533-position model. The record is from RNAcentral.